UACGUAGGGGGCGAGCGUUGUCCGGAAUCAUUGGGCGUAAAGCGCGUGUAGGCGGCUUGAUCAGUCCGGUGUGAAAUCUUGGGGCUCAACCCCAAGCCUGCACUGGAUACUGUCAAGCUUGAGUCCGGGAGGGGAGAGCGGAAUUCCUAGUGUAGCGGUGAAAUGCGCAGAUAUUAGGAAGAACACCGGUGGCGAAGGCGGCUCUCUGGAACGGUACUGACGCUGAGACGCGAAAGCGUGGGGAGCGAAC
This 250-nucleotide ribosomal RNA is filed under the name uncultured bacterium. Its description in RNAcentral is "partial 16S ribosomal RNA". It matches the Rfam family "Bacterial small subunit ribosomal RNA", at positions 524 to 773 of the family's 1533-position model. The record is from RNAcentral.